GGGAAUAUUGGACAAUGGGCGCAAGCCUGAUCCAGCAAUGCCGCGUGUGUGAAGAAGGCCUGAGGGUUGUAAAGCACUUUCAGUAGGGAGGAAGGUUGAUGGUUUAAUAGGUCAUCAAAUUGACGUUACCUACAGAAGAAGCACCGGCUAACUCUGUGCCAGCAGCCGCGGUAAUACAGAGGGUGCAAGCGUUAAUCGGAAUGACUGGGCGUAAAGGGCACGUAGGUGGCCUGUCAAGUCAUAGGUGAAAUCCCCGGGCUUAACCUGGGAACUGCCUAUGAAACUGACGGACUAGAGUAUGGGAGAGGGAAGUGGAAUUUCCGGUGUAGCGGUGAAAUGCGUAGAUAUCGGAAGGAACACCAGUGGCGAAGGCGACUUCCUGGCCUAUUACUGACACUGAGGUGCGAAAGCGUGGGUAGCGA
Molecule: ribosomal RNA, 422 nt
Filed under: uncultured bacterium
Lineage: Bacteria
Description: bacterial SSU rRNA
Rfam family: Bacterial small subunit ribosomal RNA
Source: RNAcentral